RNAcentral lists this small RNA (143 nucleotides) under Erwinia rhapontici. Lineage: Bacteria; Pseudomonadati; Pseudomonadota; Gammaproteobacteria; Enterobacterales; Erwiniaceae. The record is from RNAcentral.
UUCCAAAAAAAGACCAAAGACGAUUCCUGUCUUUGGUCCAGGGAAAUGGCUCUUUUCAGAGCCGUGCGCUAAAAGUUGGCAUUAUUGCAGGCGAUUCGCCUUGCACUUUAAAAGAUAGACCAGUUGUGGGGGUUUACCAGCCA